This is a long non-coding RNA of Oryzias latipes (Japanese medaka), 534 nucleotides long. RefSeq lists it as uncharacterized. The record is from RefSeq and is a predicted model, not a curated record. Lineage: Eukaryota; Metazoa; Chordata; Actinopteri; Beloniformes; Adrianichthyidae.
CUUUCUGCUGCUGAAGGAACCAUCGUCCAGAACGAGGAGGAGCUCUGUCGUCAGCGCAGACUGCUGGAUAGCAGCUGGAACCCGCAGCUUCAGCUCCACAUAGUUGGCAUCAGCAAAACAUUCUUCUUCUUUGUUUGGAGCCAUGGAGCCAAAAACUGAAAGCAGAGAACAUAUAAGUCCUCCUUAAGCGUUAUGCGAGUGAAGAGGAUCUGUGCAACCAACAGAGGAAUCUAAGAAUGGAACAGGAGGAAUCAGAGCCUCUGCAUAUUCAAGAGGAACAUGGAGAACCAGAACCUCCACAGUUUAAAGAGGAACAUGGAGAACCAGAACCUCCACAGUUUAAAGAGGAACAUGGAGAACCAGAACCUCCACAGUUUAAAGAGGAACAUGAAGAACCAGAACCUCCACAGUUUAAAGGGGAAUAUGGAGAACCAGAACCUCAACACAUUAAAAAGGAACAGGAGGAAUCAGAGCUUCCACAGAUUAAAGAGGAGCAAGAGAAACAAGAACCCAAAAUGAUUAAAGAAGAAAAAA